RNAcentral lists this ribosomal RNA (501 nucleotides) under uncultured Glomeromycotina. RNAcentral's name for it is "partial small subunit ribosomal RNA". It matches the Rfam family "Eukaryotic small subunit ribosomal RNA", at positions 591 to 1091 of the family's 1831-position model. The record is from RNAcentral. Lineage: Eukaryota; Fungi; Glomeromycota.
CCAAUAGCGUAUAUUAAAGUUGUUGCAGUUAAAAAGCUCGUAGUUGAACCUCGGGGUCUACCCAUUGGUCAGGCUUAAUUGUCUGCACUGGUGAGAUGGAUCUCUACCUUCUGAGGAACUUUCAUGCCAUUUAUUUGGUGUGAUGGGAAAUCAGGACUGUUACUUUGAAAAAAUUAGAGUGUUUAAAGCAGACUAUCGUCUGAAUACAUUAGCAUGGAAUAAUGAAAUAGGACGGACUGAUUCUAUUUCGUUGGUUUCUAGGAUCACCGUAAUGAUUAAUAGGGAUAGUUGGGGGCAUUAGUAUUCAAUUGUCAGGGGUGAAAUUCUUGGAUUUAUUGAAGACUAACUACUGCGAAAGCAUUUGCCAAGGAUGUUUUCAUUAAUCAAGAACGAAAGUUAGGGGAUCGAAGAAGAUCAGAUACCGUCGUAGUCUUAACCAUAAACUAUGCCGACUAGGGCUCGGACGAAGUUAAUUUUAUAAUGACGCGUUCGGCACCUUAC